GUUUUUAUAAUGAUGAAUCUGAGCUGGCUUGGGAUCCCCAUGGACUUGAUCUCGUCUGUAACGUAGCCGUUUCACUUCGUUAAAGAUGGGAUUUUUACCUUGGAGCAUGAGCUCGAGCUAGUUAUGGCAUCUAUGGACCUGAUCGCGAAGCCGUUCACGUUGAUGAGCCUUGCUGUCCUGGCCGGCGUUAGGAGUGUGAGCCUCGUGACGGCCACGUGGCGGAAUUUCGUGAGGGGUAUUGUUGAUUUCCAUGUGGGGCUGUGCUGGAGGGGUUUGGUUUGGAUCGGGGUGUUUGUUUCGCUGCCUGUGAAGAUCGUGACUGCUCUGCAUAGGGAGAGGACGCUGCAAGACGUUAAAGAAGAAAAUUCGCGGUUGAAUGGAAUCCAUGGAAAGUCCCCAUGGGAUUAUAAAUCCCGCGACGAGAAGAU
Asparagus officinalis (garden asparagus) is the source of this 428-nucleotide long non-coding RNA. RefSeq lists it as uncharacterized. The transcript is spliced from 3 exons. Lineage: Eukaryota; Viridiplantae; Streptophyta; Magnoliopsida; Asparagales; Asparagaceae. The record is from RefSeq and is a predicted model, not a curated record.